GAUGAACGCUGGCGGCGUGCCUAAUACAUGCAAGUCGAGCGAACAGACGAGGAGCUUGCUCCUCUGACGUUAGCGGCGGACGGGUGAGUAAGACGUGGAUAACCUACCUAUAAGACUGGGAUAACUUCGGGAAACCGGAGCUAAUACCGGAUAAUAUAUUGAACCGCAUGGUUCAAUAGUGAAAGACGGUUUUGCUGUCACUUAUAGAUGGAUCCGCGCCGCAUUAGCUAGUUGGUAAGGUAACGGCUUACCAAGGCGACGAUGCGUAGCCGACCUGAGAGGGUGAUCGGCCACACUGGAACUGAGACACGGUCCAGACUCCUACGGGAGGCAGCAGUAGGGAAUCUUCCGCAAUGGGCGAAAGCCUGACGGAGCAACGCCGCGUGAGUGAUGAAGGUCUUCGGAUCGUAAAACUCUGUUAUUAGGGAAGAACAAAUGUGUAAGUAACUAUGCACGUCUUGACGGUACCUAAUCAGAAAGCCACGGCUAACUACGUG
Molecule: ribosomal RNA, 497 nt
Filed under: uncultured bacterium
Lineage: Bacteria
Description: partial 16S ribosomal RNA
Rfam family: Bacterial small subunit ribosomal RNA
Source: RNAcentral